UACGGAGGGUGCAAGCAUUAAUCGGAUUUAUUGGGCGUAAAGGGCGCGUAGGCGGUAGCAUAAGUCAGAUGUGAAAUCCUGGAGCUCAACUCCAGAACAGCAUUUGAAACUAUGCUUCUAGAGGGUAGGCGGAGAAAACGGAAUUCCACAAGUAGCGGUGAAAUGCGUAGAUAUGUGGAAGAACACCGGUGGCGAAGGCGGUUUUCUAGCUUAUUCCUGACGCUGAAGCGCGAAAGCAAGGGGAUCAAAC
Molecule: ribosomal RNA, 250 nt
Filed under: uncultured bacterium
Lineage: Bacteria
Description: partial 16S ribosomal RNA
Rfam family: Bacterial small subunit ribosomal RNA
Source: RNAcentral